RNAcentral lists this ribosomal RNA (343 nucleotides) under uncultured bacterium. RNAcentral describes it as "bacterial SSU rRNA". It matches the Rfam family "Bacterial small subunit ribosomal RNA", at positions 772 to 1098 of the family's 1533-position model. The record is from RNAcentral.
ACUCAAUAGAUACCCGGGUAGUCCUGGCCCUAAACGAUGUCUACUAGAUCGUGGCGGCACUGACGCCGUCAUGGUCGAAAGCAAAAGUGUUAAGUAGACCGCCUGGGAAGUACGGUCGCAAGGCUAAAAACUCAAAGAAAUUGACGGGGGCGUCACACAAGCGGUGGAGCAUGUGGUUCAAUUCGAAGCAACGCGAAGAACCUUACCUGGGCGUUGUACAUGCUAGGAUUAUCUUGAUGAAAGUACGAGUAGGCCCCGGCCAAGGGGUACGAACUAGUACAGGUGCUGCAUGGCUGUCGUCAGCUCGUGUCGUGAGAUGUCGGGUUAAGUCCCUUAACGAGCG